Molecule: small RNA, 755 nt
Filed under: Pan troglodytes (chimpanzee)
Lineage: Eukaryota; Metazoa; Chordata; Mammalia; Primates; Hominidae
Description: retained intron
Source: RNAcentral
CUCAAAUUUAAAUCUAAUUCUCAAGUCUAGUUAUUUUCCUACUGUGCCACAGAUACAAACUUUUGUGUUUUAAUGUUUAUUGUUCUGCUUAUCAAAGAAAGAAUGUAAACUUAUGAUUCUGUUUUGCUUUGUUUAAAAAUGUGAUUCAGCAUGAUUCCACCUUUCCACUGAUAGACUCAAGUUCCCAGAACCAGAUUAGAAAACGCAUCGUACUUGAAAAGUUGAGUAAAGUAUUGCCUGGGCUUCUGCUUCCUCUUCAGAUUACAUUGGGAGAUAUUUACACACAACUUAAAAAUCUUGUUCGAACUUUCAGGUUAACAAAUAGAAAUAUUAUACACAAACCUGCGGAAUGGACUUUAAUUGCUAUGGUGUUGCUGUCAUUACUGACCCCAAUUCUUGGCAUUCAGAAACAUUCUCAGGAAGGUAUGGUGUUUACACGGUUUCUAGACACCCUGCUUGAAGAAUUACAUCUAAAAAAUGAAGACCUUGAAAGUCUAACCAUCAUAUUUAGAACCAGCUGUUUACCAGAGUGAUAUAUUCCAUGAAGACAAAAUAGAAGAUGAACUUCUAUUCACCGUUUCUGGAAUUCUAGCCGCCAUGAUGGUCUGGUGGUGACUGAUAACUAGUUUUAUUCCAAGACAUACCUUUACCUCUUUAAGUUUCAAUCUCCCAUCUCCCAGUCCUUCAGUCCCCAACUGCAGAGGAUGACCUCCCCAGAUAGAGGAGAAUCAUUACUCCAACAAGAAUAACCAAGU